AUUGAACGCUGGCGGCAGGCCUAACACAUGAAAGUAGAACGAGUGGCGGACGGGUGAGUAAUGUCUGGGAAACUGCCUGAUGGAGGGGAAUAACUACUGGAAACGGUAGCUAAUACCGCAUACCAUCAUCCGUGCCCAGAGGGGAUUGGCUAGUUGGUGGGGUAACGGCUCACCAAGGAGACGAUCCCUAGCUGGUCUGAGAGGAUGACCGGCCACACGGGAACUGAGACACGGUCCAGACUCCUACGGGAGGCAGCAGGGGGGAAUAUUGCACAAGGGGCGCAAGCCUGAUGCAGCCAUGCCGAGUGUAUGAAGAAGGCCUUCGGGUUGUAAAGUACUUUCAGCGGGGAGGCGUUACCCGCAGAAGAAGCACCGGCUAACUCCGUGCCAGCAGCCGCGGUAAUUC
RNAcentral lists this ribosomal RNA (406 nucleotides) under uncultured bacterium. RNAcentral describes it as "partial 16S ribosomal RNA". It matches the Rfam family "Bacterial small subunit ribosomal RNA", at positions 30 to 526 of the family's 1533-position model. The record is from RNAcentral.